CCUACGGGUGGCAGCAGUGGGGGAUAUUGCACAAUGGGGGAAACCCUGAUGCAGCGACGCCGCGUGUGGGAAGACGGUCCUCUGGUUUGUAAACCACUGUCCCCAGGGACGAAGAUGACGGUACCUGGGGAGGAAGCUCCGGCUAACUACGUGCCAGCAGCCGCGGUAAUACGUAGGGAGCGAGCGUUGUCCGGAAUUACUGGGUGAAAAGGGAGCGUAGGCGGGGAUGCAAGUUGGGUGUAAAAACUACCGGCUCAGCUGGUAGUCGCACUUAAAACUGCAGCUCUUGAGUGAAGUAGAGGCAGGCGGAAUUCCUAGUGUAGCGGUGAAAUGCGUAGAUAUUAGGAGGAACACCAGUGGCGAAGGCGGCCUGCUGGGCUUUUACUGACGCUGAGGCUCGAAAGUGUGGGGAGCAAACAGGAUUAGAUACCCCAGUAGUC
This 440-nucleotide ribosomal RNA is filed under the name uncultured bacterium. RNAcentral's name for it is "partial 16S ribosomal RNA". It matches the Rfam family "Bacterial small subunit ribosomal RNA", at positions 338 to 795 of the family's 1533-position model. The record is from RNAcentral.